Molecule: ribosomal RNA, 227 nt
Filed under: uncultured bacterium
Lineage: Bacteria
Description: partial 16S ribosomal RNA
Rfam family: Bacterial small subunit ribosomal RNA
Source: RNAcentral
AGUAACACGUAGUCAACCUACCUUACCGUCCGGGAUAACUAGCCGAAAGGUUAGCUAAUACCUGAUACGAUCGUAGAGCGGCAUCGCUUUUCGAUGAAAGCAGUAAUGCGCGGUUUGAGGGGGCUGCGGCCCAUUAGCUAGUUGGUGAGGUAACGGCCCACCAAGGCAACAAUGGGUAGCUGGUCUGAGAGGACGACCAGCCACACUGGGACUGAGACACGGCCCAG